UACGUAGGUGGCGAGCGUUGUCCGGAUUUACUGGGAGUAAAGGGAGCGUAGGCGGACUUUUAAGUGAGAUGUGAAAUACCCGGGCUCAACUUGGGUGCUGCAUUUCAAACUGGAAGUCUAGAGUGCAGGAGAGGAGAAUGGAAUUCCUAGUGUAGCGGUGAAAUGCGUAGAGAUUAGGAAGAACACCAGUGGCGAAGGCGAUUCUCUGGACUGUAACUGACGCUGAGGCUCGAAAGCGUGGGGAGCAAACAGGAUUAGAUA
Molecule: ribosomal RNA, 261 nt
Filed under: uncultured prokaryote
Description: partial 16S ribosomal RNA
Rfam family: Bacterial small subunit ribosomal RNA
Source: RNAcentral